Molecule: ribosomal RNA, 228 nt
Filed under: uncultured bacterium
Lineage: Bacteria
Description: partial 16S ribosomal RNA
Rfam family: Bacterial small subunit ribosomal RNA
Source: RNAcentral
UGCGCAGGCGGACUAUUAAGUCAGUGGUGAAAUCUCUCGGCUCAACCGAGAAACUGCCAUUGAAACUGAUAGCCUUGAGUGUAGUUGUAGUAGGCGGAAUAUAGCAUGUAGCGGUGAAAUGCUUAGAUAUGCUAUAGAACACCGAUCGCGAAGGCAGCUUACUAAACUAUUACUGACGCUCAUGCACGAAAGCGUGGGGAGCAAACAGGAUUAGAUACCCUGGUAGUC